This 341-nucleotide unclassified non-coding RNA is filed under the name soil metagenome. RNAcentral describes it as "partial contains 5.8S ribosomal RNA, internal transcribed spacer 2, and large subunit ribosomal RNA". The stretch from base 2 to 118 matches the Rfam family "5.8S ribosomal RNA", at positions 38 to 154 of the family's 154-position model. The record is from RNAcentral.
GGAAGAACGCAGCGAAAUGCGAUAAGUAAUGUGAAUUGCAGAAUUCAGUGAAUCAUCGAAUCUUUGAACGCACAUUGCGCCCGCUAGUAUUCUGGCGGGCAUGCCUGUCCGAGCGUCAUUUCAACCCUCAAGCCCCCGGGCUUGGUGUUGGGGAUCGGCGAGCCUCCGCGCCCGCCGUCCCCUAAAUCUAGUGGCGGUCUCGCUGUAGCUUCCUCUGCGUAGUAGCACACCUCGCACUGGGAAACAGCGCGGCCACGCCGUUAAACCCCCAACUUCUGAACGUUUGACCUCGGAUCAGGUAGGAAUACCCGCUGAACUUAAGCAUAUCAAUAAGCGGAGGA